AACGAACGCUGGCGGAAGGGAGAACACAUGCAAGUCGAACGAGACCUUCGGGUCUAGUGGCGCACGGGUGCGUAACGCGUGGGAACCUGCCCUUAGGCUCGGAAUAACUCCCCGAAAGGGGUGCUAAUACCGGAUAAUGUCUUCUGACCAAAGAUUUAUCGCCUUUGGAUGGGCCCGCGUUGGAUUAGCUAGUUGGUCGGGUAAAAGCCUACCAAGGCGACGAUCCAUAGCUGGUCUGAGAGGAUGAUCAGCCACACUGGGACUGAGACACGGCCCAGACUCCUACGGGAGGCAGCAGUGGCGAAUAUUGGACCAUGGGCGAAAGCCUGAUCCAGCAAUGCCGCGUGAGUGAUGAAGGCCUUAGGGUUGUAAAGCUCUUUUACCCGGGAUGAUCAUGACAGUACCGGGAGAAUAAGCUCCGGCUAACUCCGUG
This 433-nucleotide ribosomal RNA is filed under the name uncultured bacterium. RNAcentral's name for it is "partial 16S ribosomal RNA". It matches the Rfam family "Bacterial small subunit ribosomal RNA", at positions 29 to 507 of the family's 1533-position model. The record is from RNAcentral.